This 896-nucleotide ribosomal RNA is filed under the name Myxocephala albida. RNAcentral's name for it is "LSU rRNA". It matches the Rfam family "Eukaryotic large subunit ribosomal RNA", at positions 38 to 965 of the family's 3401-position model. The record is from RNAcentral. Lineage: Eukaryota; Fungi; Ascomycota; Sordariomycetes.
GCAUAUCAAUAAGCGGAGGAAAAGAAACCAACAGGGAUUGCCCCAGUAACGGCGAGUGAAGCGGCAACAGCUCAAAUUUGAAAUCUGGCCCUCGGGUCCGAGUUGUAAUUUGCAGAGGAUGCUUUUGGUGAGGUGCCUUCCGAGUUCCCUGGAACGGGACGCCAUAGAGGGUGAGAGCCCCGUCUGGUCGGACACCAAACCUGUGUAAAGCUCCUUCGACGAGUCGAGUAGUUUGGGAAUGCUGCUCUAAAUGGGAGGUAUAUGUCUUCUAAAGCUAAAUACCGGCCAGAGACCGAUAGCGCACAAGUAGAGUGAUCGAAAGAUGAAAAGCACUUUGAAAAGAGAGUUAAACAGUACGUGAAAUUGUUGAAAGGGAAGCGCUCAUGACCAGACUUGGGCUUGGCUGAUCAACUUGGGUUCUCCCGGGUGCACUCUUCCUCGUCCAGGCCAGCAUCAGUUCGCUGCGGGGGAUAAAGGUUUCGGGAACGUGGCUCCCUCGGGAGUGUUAUAGCCCGUUGCGUAAUACCCUGCGGUGGACUGAGGUCCGCGCAUCUGCAAGGAUGCUGGCGUAAUGGUCAUCAGCGACCCGUCUUGAAACACGGACCAAGGAGUCGUCUUCGUAUGCGAGUGUUCGGGUGUUAAACCCCUACGCGGAAUGAAAGUGAACGCAGGUGAGAGCUUCGGCGCAUCAUCGACCGAUCCUGAUGUUCUCGGAUGGAUUUGAGUAAGAGCAUACGGGGCCGGACCCGAAAGAAGGUGAACUAUGCCUGUAUAGGGUGAAGCCAGAGGAAACUCUGGUGGAGGCUCGCAGCGGUUCUGACGUGCAAAUCGAUCGUCAAAUAUGGGCAUGGGGGCGAAAGACUAAUCGAACCUUCUAGUAGCUGGUUUCCGCCGAG